GAUGAACGCUGGCGGCGUGCUUAACACAUGCAAGUCGAGCGAAGCGCUAAUGCGGAUUUCUUCGGAUUGAAGCUUUAGUGACUGAGCGGCGGACGGGUGAGUAACGCGUGGGUAACCUGCCUCAUACAGGGGGAUAACAGUUGGAAACGGCUGCUAAUACCGCAUAAGCGCACAGUACCGCAUGGUACGGUGUGAAAAACUCCGGUGGUAUGAGAUGGACCCGCGUCUGAUUAGGUAGUUGGUGGGGUAACGGCCUACCAAGCCGACGAUCAGUAGCCGACCUGAGAGGGUGACCGGCCACAUUGGGACUGAGACACGGCCCAAACUCCUACGGGAGGCAGCAGUGGGGAAUAUUGCACAAUGGGGGAAACCCUGAUGCAGCGACGCCGCGUGAGCGAAGAAGUAUUUCGG
RNAcentral lists this ribosomal RNA (411 nucleotides) under uncultured bacterium. RNAcentral describes it as "bacterial SSU rRNA". It matches the Rfam family "Bacterial small subunit ribosomal RNA", at positions 28 to 421 of the family's 1533-position model. The record is from RNAcentral.